This 701-nucleotide long non-coding RNA is filed under the name Ananas comosus (pineapple). RNAcentral's name for it is "long non-coding RNA (ACOM_LNC008541)". The record is from RNAcentral. Lineage: Eukaryota; Viridiplantae; Streptophyta; Magnoliopsida; Poales; Bromeliaceae.
AGGGUGCGUUUGGUUCGCAUUAUGAAAGAUUAUUAGGAAUAAAAAGAUAUCCGAGAAUUUUAUUCCUAUUCAUUCUAUUACUAAGAAUGUGGAAUUCCUGUAUUUGGUUCGCACGGUAAUAUUAAUUAACCAUGUUAUUUAAUAUUACAAAAAAUAUACAAUUAAUUAAUUAAUUUAUUUAUUUAAUUUUAGAUAAUGUUAUCAAAAGUUUCAACAUCUUUUUAGAAAAAAUGGAAAGAGAGUAUAAGUUAGAGAGAAAGAGCAUAAUUAAAAAAAUAGAAAGAAAAAUAUAGUCGAAAUUAGAGGGAGUGAGAGAGUUGAAAUUUUAGAAAGAGAGAGAGAGAGAAAGCUUAGUUUAGAGAGAGAAAAAAAAGUUUAGAGAGAGAUAUAAGGUUAGAGUGUAAAGAAAAAUAAUAUCAAUUAGCGGGUGGGUAAGAAGAAAAAAAUAGAUUAGACAUAUUAUGAUUACCCCAAUCUAUUAAUAUAAGGAUACCCACCUUCCCUCAAGAGAAUGAGAUUAGUACUUUGGGGUGAAUCUUAUUCCCAAGUAAAUCCAGUAUUACCAAUUAGAUUACUUAGUGCGUUUACCUAAAUUCCGUCAUAUUUUUUUAUUUUUAUUGGAUUAGUAGGAAUCUUUAAAAGAUAGCGCGAACCAAACGCACCCUUAAUGUUAUGAAGUUGCCAAAGACGACCGUCAUCGC